UGGGGUGCUCGAGUGGCGAACGGGUGAGUAACACGUGGGUGAUCCCCCUGACUUUGGGAUAAGCCUGGGAAACUGGGUCUAAUACCGGAUAUGACCAUGGGACAUGUUCUGUGGUGGAAAGCUUUUGCGGUUGGGGAUGGGCCCGCGGCCUAUCAGCUUGGGUGGGGUAAUGGCCUACCAAGGCGACGACGGGUAGCCGACCUGAGAGGGUGAUCGGCCACUGGGACUGAGACACGGCCCAGACUCCUACGGGAGGCAGCAGUGGGGAAUAUUGCAAUGGGCGCAAGCCUGAUGCAGCGACGCCGCGUGAGGGAUGACGGCCUUCGGGUUGUAACUCUUUCAGUAGGGACGAAGCUUCGGUGACGGUACCUGCAGAAGAAGCACCGGCCAACCGUGCCAGCAGCCGCGGUAAUACGUAGGGUGCGAGCGUUGUCCGGAAUUACUGGGCGUAGAGCUCGUAGGCGGUUUGUCGCGUCGUCUGUGAAAUUCUGCAACUCAAUUGCAGGCGCAGGCGAUACGGGCAGACUUGAGUACUACAGGGGAGACUGGAAUUCCUGGUGUAGCGGAAAUGCGCAGAUAUCAGGAGGAACACCGGUGGCGAAGGCGGGUCUCUGGGUAGUAACUCGCUGAGGAGCGAAAGCGUGGGUAGCGAACAGGAUUAGAUACCCUGGUAGUCCACGCCAAACGGUGGGUACUAGGUGUGGGUUCCAUUUCACGGGAUCCGUGCCGUAGCUAACGCA
Molecule: ribosomal RNA, 740 nt
Filed under: uncultured bacterium
Lineage: Bacteria
Description: bacterial SSU rRNA
Rfam family: Bacterial small subunit ribosomal RNA
Source: RNAcentral